This 301-nucleotide ribosomal RNA is filed under the name uncultured bacterium. Its description in RNAcentral is "partial 16S ribosomal RNA". It matches the Rfam family "Bacterial small subunit ribosomal RNA", at positions 509 to 807 of the family's 1533-position model. The record is from RNAcentral.
CAGCAGCCGCGGUAGUACGUAGGGUGCGAGCGUUAAUCGGAAUUACUGGGCGUAAAGCGUGCGCAGGCGGUUCGUUAAGACAGAUGUGAAAUCCCCGGGCUUAACCUGGGAACUGCAUUUGUGACUGGCGAGCUAGAGUAUGGCAGAGGGGGGUAGAAUUCCACGUGUAGCAGUGAAAUGCGUAGAGAUGUGGAGGAAUACCGAUGGCGAAGGCAGCCCCCUGGGCCAAUACUGACGCUCAUGCACGAAAGCGUGGGGAGCAAACAGGAUUAGAUACCCCAGUAGUCCCUGUCUCUUAUAC